GUGGAUAACCUACCUAUAAGACUGGGAUAACUUCGGGAAACCGGAGCUAACACCGGAUAAUAUUUUGAACCGCAUGAUUCAGAAGUGAAAGACGGUCUUGCUGUCACUUAUAGAUGGAUCCGCGCUGCAUUAGCUAGUUGGUAAGGUAACGGCUUACCAAGGCAACGAUGCAUAGCCGACCUGAGAGGGUGAUCGGCCACACUGGAACUGAGACACGGUCCAG
This 223-nucleotide ribosomal RNA is filed under the name uncultured Staphylococcus sp. RNAcentral's name for it is "partial 16S ribosomal RNA". It matches the Rfam family "Bacterial small subunit ribosomal RNA", at positions 117 to 334 of the family's 1533-position model. Lineage: Bacteria; Bacillati; Bacillota; Bacilli; Caryophanales; Staphylococcaceae. The record is from RNAcentral.